CAGGCCUCAGGUGAGCCAAAAGUUAACGGACCGCGGUCGACCUAGCGGGAGGUGUUCCGGAACUUUCUCCAGCCAGCCGUUGGUCUCCUCUUAGCUGUCAGUCCGCCUUCCUGUCGGGGAAAUGUUUCUCAAAGAGAAACAUCCCUCAGCAAGUCCGAGGCCCCUCUACUGGCAAACUGGGCUCGACCGGUGCUGAUUUUUGGAAACUGCCCAACUCCUCCUGUGGGCCCAGGCGUUCCGCGACCGCUAGGAGGAAGGGGAUGCGGAGCUAACGGGACAAGACGACGGAGAGGAGCUGACGGCGUUGCCGAAAGGGAUCGGGCCCGUCUCGGUCAGAGGCGGUUUUCCUCGCUCCGUGUGUUGUGCGUAACCGAGUCCUCUGUUGGUAAACACGCACGAGGCCGCUUCCACCCACGCCGGGCCGACCUAAGGCAGGGCGACCCAGCCUCGCGUAAAGCCGGCCGGUCCGCCAUGCGAGGAGGUCCGGUGGAAAUGAAGGGCAAGAAUAUCCUGGGGUAGAAUUUAUCGGAUGCUCGGUGUGAGAGAAAUCGCCCGAAACCAAACAUUCCUCGCUGAGAGCAUCCCGUUCCCCGGGGGUCUUGGUUCGGCCGAUGACCGCUGCCACGGACAACUGUGCGGUCUGCACCUAGUGCCUGGGAAAGGAAGAGAUAAAGAACCCAACGCGGCGAGGUAAAAGCGGGUGUUUUUAUUUGAAGGGAAGAGACUGGGCUAUGUUCACUCUGAAAGUGGUUCUGGAUACCAGAUCAGCUAACUACAAUUUAGGAGGUCUUAUGUGUAAUCUGCCCAGUCCCAGAUAUUUUAAUUCUAUGUUGCAAAAAUGUAUGAGCCAGCUGGCCUCCGACUAAAUAUAUUCAGGGUUCAGUUCUAAACAGUAAUGUUUGGGAAAAGUACAAUCUAAAACAGACAGCUCUGUAUGUGUUUAGAUUUUGCUUUCUUUCCACUUUUAAAUAUUAAAAAUUGACUCCAGCUGUGGGGUAGAAAGUAACGCCUAACCUAUAAAAACAUUGACAAAUAAA
Molecule: long non-coding RNA, 1037 nt
Organism: Ornithorhynchus anatinus (platypus)
Lineage: Eukaryota; Metazoa; Chordata; Mammalia; Monotremata; Ornithorhynchidae
Exons: 2
Source: RefSeq, a predicted model, not a curated record